GAAAUUCGUGUUUUGGAUAUGUCUUCACUAAAACGGUAACUGCUCCUUCUCUUUAAUUCUGAUUAAAAUUCCUCUUGCUGCUAUGGAAAGCUAACGCAAUUCCCUUCGAUUUGAGUACCAACUUCGUAGGUUUUAGCUUAAUAUUGAAGUCUGUAGACGAGAUGGAAGUUAGGGUACUGUGCUGCAAAUUCUGCAGAAAACUGGAUGCGGGUUUAGUAUGUUGCAGCUGUAAAUUUCGUCUUUUGACGAGUCCGGGAGUUGUCGAUGACAUUUUACGGUAAAGGGAUUUCAAUGACAAAGUUCAAGGUUGGAAAUAAAACUACAGAAUAGGAUCAAAUCAAAGAAUGAGCUUGUUGGAAGGAGCUAAAAGUGGGAGCUUGGUACUAUGGUUGUGAUGCUCAAUUGUUGAGAAAGCUUUUAAUUUUAAAGGUGGGUUCCCUUAGAGCCUUAAACUCUAGUUAGUUUUAGCUCCAUUAGUUUCCCUAAAAUUUAUGCAUGACAACAUUAGUUUAGAUAUGAUAAUAGUAUCCCCAAAUUAUGAAUUGUGCAUGAUCACAUAAGUUUAGGAUCAAUUAGUGUAUGAGAGGAGCUUAAUCCCAAAGCUUCUCUCCAUUUUAAUCAUGUAAUAUAUGUUGCAUUAUUCAUGGCUAGCGAGAAAAGGGAUUUGUGGUGAGAAGUUUUGUAAAAAUGGUGAAAAACAUGAAAACAGAGUACUGAACUGAUAAUCUCGCUAAGCGACGUACUUCUCGCUAAGCAAGGAUAUCAACUCAGAAUUCUGCAAAAUUUGAAAACAAGAACUGUAUUACUCUUUUGAUUCCCCAAUCUUUCUAGAUGAUUUUCUGUGAAUAAUGCAGGUAUAAUCCUUAAUUAAAAUGUUAAUUACACAUUAAGUUAUGAUAAUCAGGAAAUCAGGACAAGUUAGUUACCCAGGGAGGGAAUUCAUGGGCAUGAUAACAAUCAGGAUAGUUAAGUUAUGUUAAGGAAGUCAGUCAAUCAUGGUGGUUACUUAUGUACCACGUUAUGGGAUUCGAGGAAUCCAAUCAUGUUACGAUUGUGAGCUUCAUGCCGUGUCGAUGCAUAUAAUCAUCAACGACAGAUAUGUCAGACCUCUGAGAUCGGCUCACCUCAGAGUGUCUUAGUUAUGUUAAAAUGAACAAGAUAAUUAAUAUGUGUUACACCUUUAUAUUAUUACGUUUAUGAAAUCAUGUUAUGAAAUUAUGUUAGAGACUGACAAUCAGGAUCAAGGAACUUUAGUUCAUCAGUUGCCCCCGGUGUAAACACCAAUAGUAACUGGGUAGUAGGAAUCCACUGAGACGAAGUGACUGUUCUCAUCCCCCACUUAUUUGAUUUCAGAUAAGCAGGUUAAUCGAGAUAUCUUGGUUUGCUAGCAUGAAGAUUCAGAUACGCGAAUUACGUUAUGGAGCUGACAUCAUGUUAAUCUUAUUAUUAUAUAAGAUUCAGUUUAUUUGAGUUCAGUAGUUAGCUCAAUCAUGUAUUCAUUUAGUGGAUUAUUGUAAUCCUAUUCAUGUAUUUGAUCUUUAUGUAAUGAAAAUUUAAUGUUUCCCGAUUCAGUUAUGUACACUCUUGUCGAUAUUCUAGAUAAAUCGAUAUGGGAUGUUAUAAUUGGUAUCA
RNAcentral lists this long non-coding RNA (1632 nucleotides) under Trifolium pratense (red clover). Its description in RNAcentral is "long non-coding RNA (TPRA_LNC012733)". The record is from RNAcentral. Lineage: Eukaryota; Viridiplantae; Streptophyta; Magnoliopsida; Fabales; Fabaceae.